UCUGGUUGAUCCUGCCAGUUGUCAUAUGCUUGUCUCAAAGAUUAAGCCAUGCAAGUGUAAGUAUAAAUAGACAAAUUGUACUAUGAGACUGCGAAUGGCUCAUUAAAUCAGCAAUAAUUUAUUCGGUGGAUGAAGUAAUUCUAAAAGGAUAACCGUGGUAAAUCUAGAGCUAAUACAUGCAAAGAAGAUCAAGUAAAAUUGAUGCGUAUAUUAGAUACAAAACCUCUAUAACGGGUGAUUCAUAAUAUUCAAAGCAGAUCGCAAUUGAAAAAGAUAGCGACAAACCGAUCAAAUUUCUGCCCUAUCAACUUUGGACGGUAACGUAGUGGGUUACGGUGGUUAUGACGGGUAACGGAGAAUUAGGGUUUGAUUCCGGAGAAUGCGCAUGAGAAAUAGCGACUACUUUCAAGAAAGGCAGCAGGCGCGUAAAUUACCCAAUCCUGACACAGGGAGGUAGUGACAACAAAUAACAAUGGUUGUAUGAAAUGUAUGACUAAUUGGAAUGAGAACAAUUUAAAGCCCUUAUCGAGUAACAAUUGGAGGGUAAGUUCUGGUGCCAGCAGCCGCGGUAAUUCCAGCUCCAAUAGUGUAUACGAAUGUUGUUGCAGUUAAAACGCUCGUAGUUGGAAAUAGAUUUUUUUGGGUCGGACAGUUAAGAGAUUAACUGGAAGAUUGAGAAAAAAUAGAAAUAUAAUAUAAACUUGUGGAAACACAAGGGAAUAUAAUUUACUUUGAAUAAAUUAGAGUGCUCCAAGCAAUCUGAAAAGAAAAUGGAAACAUUUCUCUUUUAUAUAAGAUGAUGGAAUAAUAAAGCAUGGGAUAAUAAAAAAGGAUUUGAAAGAAACAUUUUUGGUUGGUUUUGAUUUUUUUAAAUAAUGAUAAAUAGGAACGGUUGGGGGUAUUUGUAUUGAAUAGUCAGAGGUGAAAUUCAAGGAUUUGUUCAAGACAAACAUCAGCGAAAGCAUUUACCAAGGACGUUUCCAUUAAUCAAGAACGAAAGUUAGGGGAUCGAAGAUGAUCAGAUACCGUCGUAGUCCUAACCAUAAACAAUGCCGACCAAAGAUAAGAGGGUCGUAAUUUGGGCCUUGUUGGAAACGACAAGACACAAAUAAAACUCCUUUUGAAUUUUAGAGGGAAACCAGUAGUGUAUGGGUUCUGGGGGGAGUACGGUAGCAAGGCUGAAACUUGAAGGAAUUGACGGAAGGGCACCACCAGGUGUGGAACCUGCGGCUUAAUUCGACCCAACACGGGAAAACUUACCAGGUCCGGACACAGGAAGGAUUGACAGAUUGAUUUGUG
This 1299-nucleotide ribosomal RNA is filed under the name metagenome. RNAcentral's name for it is "SSU rRNA". It matches the Rfam family "Eukaryotic small subunit ribosomal RNA", at positions 1 to 1259 of the family's 1831-position model. The record is from RNAcentral.